GAUGAACGCUGGCGGCGUGCUUAACACAUGCAAGUCGAACGGUGAACACGGAGCUUGCUCUGUGGGAUCAGUGGCGAACGGGUGAGUAACACGUGAGCAACCUGCCCCUGACUCUGGGAUAAGCGCUGGAAACGGCGUCUAAUACUGGAUAUGUGCCGUGACCGCAUGGUCUGCGUUUGGAAAGAUUUUUCGGUUGGGGAUGGGCUCGCGGCCUAUCAGCUUGUUGGUGAGGUAAUGGCUCACCAAGGCGUCGACGGGUAGCCGGCCUGAGAGGGUGACCGGCCACACUGGGACUGAGACACGGCCCAGACUCCUACGGGAGGCAGCAGUGGGGAAUAUUGCACAAUGGGCGCAAGCCUGAUGCAGCAACGCCGCGUGAGGGAUGACGGCCUUCGGGUUGUAAACCUCUUUUAGCAGGGAAGAAGCGAAAGUGACGGUACCUGCAGAAAAAGCGCCGGCUAACUACGUG
This 469-nucleotide ribosomal RNA is filed under the name uncultured bacterium. Its description in RNAcentral is "partial 16S ribosomal RNA". It matches the Rfam family "Bacterial small subunit ribosomal RNA", at positions 28 to 507 of the family's 1533-position model. The record is from RNAcentral.